This 383-nucleotide unclassified non-coding RNA is filed under the name uncultured Boletaceae. Its description in RNAcentral is "sequence contains ITS2". The record is from RNAcentral. Lineage: Eukaryota; Fungi; Basidiomycota; Agaricomycetes; Boletales; Boletaceae.
AACUAUCAACCAUGUCUCGAUUGACUUUUGAGCACAUGGCUUGGAUGUGGGGGUUGCUGGCUGCGAAAGCGGUCAGCUCUCCUUAAACGCAUUAGCAAAGGGGUGUGCUAUGGUCUUCUGGACGUGCACGGCCUUUGACGUGAUAAUGAUCGUCGUGGCUGGAGCGUCCGUCAUAGACCAUGCAUAGACAAGCCUCGAUUUGCUUCUAAUUCCAAGAUCCUCUAAUCUCAGUGGUGGUCGGGAGGUCUUGCUAGCUAUUAGUCUACUAGCCUACUAGCCUACUAGUCUGUGUGCAUGCAUAUGGACGAACGGCGAACAGUGAACGGCGAACGUUGACAAGGCUGACGACGACAAAGCUAGACUUGGGGAUCGUAUUCAUUGAC